GUGGAAUCGAGAACUCGGUUCCAGUCUACGGAGACAUUGGCAAUUGCAUGGACCUUAGCAGCAUGCGUGAUGAGAGCCUUCGCUGUAAGUCUUCGAUGAGAGAGGUUAGUUAAUGCAUCAUAUGACGUAAUCAGAGAGCACCGCUAACUCCGUGCAGCAGCGCGGUAUCGAGGGUGCGAGCGUUAUCGGAUACUGGCGUAAAGGGCAGCAGGCGGUUAUUUAGUGAGGUGUGAAAGCCCCGGGCCUACCUGGGAUGCAUUUCAGACUGGGUACUAGAGUACUUUAGGGAGGGGUAGAAUUCCACGUGUAGCGUGAAAUGCGUAGAGAUGUGGAGGAAUACCGAAGGCGAAGGCAGCCCCUUGGGAAUGUACUGACGCUCAUGUGCGAAAGCGUGGGGGAGCAAACAGGAUUAGAUACCCUGGUAGUCACGCUGUAAACGCUGUCGAUUUGGGGAUUGGGCUUAAAGCUUGGUGCCCGUAGCUAACGUGAUAAAUCGACCGCUGGGGAGUACGGCCGCAAGGUUAAAACUCAAAUGAAUUGACGGGGGCCCGCACAAGCGGUGGAGCAUGUGGUUUAAUUCGAAGCAACGCGAAGAACCUUACCAGGUCUUGACAUCCCUCUGACCGCUCUAGAGAUAGAGUUUUCCUUCGGGACAGAGGUGACAGGUGGUGCAUGGUUGUCGUCAGCUCGUGUCGUGAGAUGUUGGGUUAAGUCCCGCAACGAGCGCAACCCCUAUUGUUAGUUGCCAUCAUUUAGUUGGGCACUCUAGCGAGACUGCCGGUAAUAAACCGGAGGAAGGUGGGGAUGACGUCAAAUCAUCAUGCCCCUUAUGACCUGGGCUACACACGUGCUACAAUGGCUGGUACAACGAGUCGCAAGCCGGUGACGGCAAGCUAAUCUCUUAAAGCCAGUCUCAGUUCGGAUUGUAGGCUGCAACUCGCCUACAUGAAGUCGGAAUCGCUAGUAAUCGCGGAUCAGCACGCCGCGGUGAAUACGUCCCCGGGCCUUGUACACACCGCCCGUCACACCACGAGAGUUUGUAACACCCGAAGUCGGUGAGGUAACCGUAAGGAGCCAGCCGCCUAAGGUGGGAUAGAUGAUUGGGGUGAAGUCGUAACAAGGUAGCCGUAUCGGAAGGUGCGGCUGGAUCACCUCCUUC
Molecule: ribosomal RNA, 1159 nt
Filed under: uncultured bacterium
Lineage: Bacteria
Description: bacterial SSU rRNA
Rfam family: Bacterial small subunit ribosomal RNA
Source: RNAcentral